This 497-nucleotide ribosomal RNA is filed under the name uncultured bacterium. RNAcentral's name for it is "partial 16S ribosomal RNA". It matches the Rfam family "Bacterial small subunit ribosomal RNA", at positions 28 to 507 of the family's 1533-position model. The record is from RNAcentral.
GAUGAACGCUGGCGGCGUGCCUAAUACAUGCAAGUCGAGCGAACGGACGAGAAGCUUGCUUCUCUGAUGUUAGCGGCGGACGGGUGAGUAACACGUGGAUAACCUACCUAUAAGACUGGGAUAACUUCGGGAAACCGGAGCUAAUACCGGAUAAUAUUUUGAACCGCAUGGUUCAAAAGUAAAAGACGGUCUUGCUGUCACUUAUAGAUGGAUCCGCGCUGCAUUAGCUAGUUGGUAAGGUAACGGCUUACCAAGGCAACGAUGCAUAGCCGACCUGAGAGGGUGAUAGGCCACACUGGAACUGAGACACGGGCCAGACUCCUACGGGAGGCAGCAGUAGGGAAUCUUCCGCAAUGGGCGAAAGCCUGACGGAGCAACGCCGCGUGAGUGAUGAAGGUAUUCGGAUCGUAAAACUCUGUUAUUAGGGAAGAACAUAUGUGUAAGUAACUGUGCACAUCUUGACGGUACCUAAUCAGAAAGCCACGGCUAACUACGUG